RNAcentral lists this ribosomal RNA (468 nucleotides) under uncultured bacterium. Its description in RNAcentral is "partial 16S ribosomal RNA". It matches the Rfam family "Bacterial small subunit ribosomal RNA", at positions 28 to 507 of the family's 1533-position model. The record is from RNAcentral.
GACGAACGCUGGCGGCGUGCUUAACACAUGCAAGUCGAACGGAAAGGCCCUGCUUUUGUGGGGUGCUCGAGUGGCGAACGGGUGAGUAACACGUGAGUAACCUGCCCUUGACUUUGGGAUAACUUCAGGAAACUGGGGCUAAUACCGGAUAGGAGCUCCUGCUGCAUGGUGGGGGUUGGAAAGUUUCGGCGGUUGGGGAUGGACUCGCGGCUUAUCAGCUUGUUGGUGGGGUAGUGGCUUACCAAGGCUUUGACGGGUAGCCGGCCUGAGAGGGUGACCGGCCACAUCGGGACUGAGAUACGGCCCAGCCUCCUACGGGAGGCAGCAGUGGGGAAUAUUGCACAAUGGGCGGAAGCCUGAUGCAGCAACGCCGCGUGCGGGAUGACGGCCUUCGGGUUGUAAACCGCUUUCGCCUGUGACGAAGCGUGAGUGACGGUAAUGGGUAAAGAAGCACCGGCUAACUACGUG